This 4189-nucleotide long non-coding RNA is filed under the name Pelobates cultripes (western spadefoot toad). Lineage: Eukaryota; Metazoa; Chordata; Amphibia; Anura; Pelobatidae. The record is from RNAcentral.
AUUGUCCACGUGCAUUUUUGGCCUUUUCAUUCCUGGUCAGUGGUCGCUUCAAGGUUUAGAAAAGAUUACCUUGUCGCAAGGGUUCAUACACUGCCAGAGAUUUUAGAUAAUAUUUCAUUGCUGUUCCAAAUACAGCAAUGUCCUACUCCCAGAUAAUCAAUAAAGACUCAAGACUUUCUCUGGCUUGGUAGGGCUUCUCUAUAGAUCGCAGUAGGGCUUUACAGUCUCAAAACAAUGGGAGAGAUGAGUUGUUUCUGUAUAAACUGAAUUUUAGUAGAGCAGAUCACAUGCUGACUACUGAAUCCAUUUAUAAUUUACUGAACAUUGUAUGUGUUAUAAACAAAAAUAACAAGCAUGAAUUUUCCCAGCAAAGUUCUAAGCCUUACAAAUCUUUAACUAAUAUGCUUAAAUAAGACCUAUAUGGCUGUGACCACACUAAUUCUUCAGUAUAUGUCACACAUCCCAUGACUAGCGAAUAUCUAUAUAAUAAUCCUAAAGGGGGGUUGUUUUUUUUAGGAAAAUAAAUUGUGGAUACAGGAUUUUGUUUUUAAAAAAUUGAGGGAUCUCUACUCAUUUCUCAGAGCAACGCAAAUGUAAAGAUGAGACUUACAAUUGCAUGUAAGUAUAUUUCUAUAUCACCAUGCAACAUAUAUUUUUUAAUAUACUUUUUUGACCUAGAACACAUUUAGUAGCCUAGCAUUAUACGUGUUGACACUUAUAGCAGAUCAGACAUAUCCUGGUGGCAUGACCUUACCUCCACCUCAUCAGUGUGGCCCCUGCAGUGUAUAAAUGUCUCAUGAGAUAUGAACCAAAAUAUAUUGAGAAAAAAAAAUGGUUGUGCGAAUAAUUAAUGUUUCACACAAGUUAAAGUUCUUGCAAAGGUUGCCCACAAAAUGCACUUUGUCUAUAUUUAAUGUAAAGUCCGCAGGUUCAACAGCAUAUUGAAGUUUUAAUGAAGACAAAAAAACUCAAAACAUAAAAAUACAGUUUCAGCCACAUGGCCUUAAUCAUAUGUAAAGGAUGCAUGUACAACCUAACAGUUUAAAUACCUGUAGUUUCAGAGCCAACAUUGAGAGCUCCUCCCAGGGGUGUGUGUCCAGUUACCAUAGUAACCACCCAAUAAGUACAUAAAUGAUGCUAUUUUGUGUUGGUUAUUAACCCUUUCCCUCCCAACAUCUUGUUUACUUGUGUGAAAGGAGUACUAUAGGGUCAGGAACACAAACAUGUAUUCCUGACCCUAUAGUGUUAAAACCAGCAUCCAGUCACUCUGGUCCCCUCAUGCCUCUAUAAAUAUAGUAAAAUCUUACUUGUAUGCAAGCCCUGUUUCCUUUAAACCUGCCCACUACCUGCUGAAAUCAUCAGAAGUUGUAGCCUGAUCCAAUCACAAUGCUUCCCCAUAGGAUUGGCUGAGACUGACAAGGAGGCACAUCAGGGGCAGAGCCAGCACAAUUCAAACACAGCCCUGGCCAAUCAGCAUCUCCUCAUAGAGAUGAAUUAAAUUAAUGCAUGUCUAUGAGGAAAGUUCAGUGUCUGCGUGCAGAGGGAGGAGAUACUGAAUGUUUGAAUGCAUUUUAGGCAGCCAUGACCCAGGAAGGAUAACAGCCAUCUGAGGAGUGGCCAGUGAAGUUAUCACUAGGCUGUAAUGUAAACACUGCAUUUUCUUUGAAAAGACAGUGUUUACAGCAAAAAGCCUGAAGGUAAUGAUUCUACUCACCAGAAUAAAUUCAAUAAGCUGUAGUUGUUCUGGUGACUAUAGUAUCCCUUUAACUUUCAUUUUGCUUUGCAAAUCAAUGCUCUAGUUUUGGUUUUCACUCUGCAGAGAAAGCAUUUCACUCCCAGUGCCCUAUUUAGUUUCUAUGCAGAGGGACUGCAAAGUACAAAUAUUCCUUUCUUUCACAUUGUACAGCAACCUUUGUAGGUCAAACUUUUGUGCAUCAUUCUAUCAGCAAAUGUAGUUGGAGUGCUCUAAGCAUACACAAAACACAUAAACAAUACAAACAUGUAAUACCCAGUAAUAUACAAACAUUUGACCAUUAAUAUUUUUUAUACAGUGUAUUUUUUUUCUAAAUUUACUGAAUUUAAUCUUUGAGCAAUCAGUAAGCAAAAUCGUUAAAUUCUAUAUGUGCUAGUUAUGCAUCCCCUAUUUUAAACCAAUGUUAUGCUAUUUCCUUGAUAGUAAAGAGGGUAAACAUAUAACUUGUUCCAAGGUAUUUACUAAAGUAAGAUUUAAAAGGGAAAUGAAAAUUGAACUUCAACAUUUGUUAUUUUGGUCUUAUAUUUGAAAUUAAUUUUGAAUUUACCUUAAAUUCUGACUUUAGGGAAUUACUUUGCCUGAGUGUCAGAUUUGACGUGCCAUCAUGCACUGUCUGAACUUGCAGUUCCUUGGUUUGUAUCUUCAAACCCGUAGGCAUUCAAAGUGUUAAAUUAGCUUGCCUGAGAAGGAAAAUCACUUCAACAGUCAUUAAACGAUAAUCACUUUUCCGUUGUCUUUUUUUUUUUUUCAAUUCUUCUUCAUGCCUGUAGAUCUGUGAGAAUAUUUAUAAAUGGCUGUUCGGGUUAUUGCAACAUUUAAUAGUGCCUUUAAGAAUGAAUGUCAAGCAAAACAAAAUCCGGAUUAUUAGAGGACUGUGGGUGUGCAAUACAUGCUUCACAAUACCCAUUUAUUAUUUAAUAGACCAUUCUUGCACACAUUAUCAAAAGAACAUUUCAAUCGUCAAAUAUAAUAUGUGCAUACAACAUUUUAAAACAACAGAGACACGGUUACAGCGGAUUUGUCACAUGUGAGUUUUUAAGAUAUAUUUUUUUUUUCAAAGAUAUGCUUUUUUAAUUCUAUUUAAGUUUUGCUUAAGAUCAGUUUUUCAAAGAGUUUAGAAAGCACAUAAAAUACUUUUGGUUUUUAUGUCAAUUCCAUUUCCAUCAGUCAAUAAUCAGUUAACGGUUGAUAUAUAUUAAAUCACAAAACUGGACUAUGUGAUAAAAAUGCACUUAGGUGGGAAAAUUGCCGUGGCACUAGUUAUUAUGUGUGAUUAUCUUAAAGGCCAAUUUUGUAUUUUUACAAAUGUCCUAUUUGUCCUGCUAAAAUACCAGCACUGAAAACAGAGUAUCUGAUACUACUUUUGGACAAGUAUUAGCUUCUUUCCAAUUGUUUUACAUUUUGAAAUUACAUUCUCUCACUUUUUCAUAUUUUAGCUCGAAACACACAAGUGACAGAUCCCUUAUAUAAUACCAUAUAUAAAUAGUUACCUAUUACAAAAAUGUAUACUUUAAUGCAAAUCAUUUUAGCAGGUUUAUAAUGUAAUCAUUGGACUUAUAAUAGAAUGUCAUACUUGGGAUUGUAGCCUAAAAUAGAUUGUGAGCACAUCCACUAGUUGCCAAAACUUUUCUUUAUACCACUAUAUAAAUGAUAAAUCCAUAUUAACUAGUACAGGCUAACCUUGACAUCACAGAUCUUAAAAGGACACUCUGAGCAUCAAAACCAUUUACAGACUGCUGUAGUGGUGGCAGGAGUCCUCUGGCACCGUCUCACAGUAAAAUGUCACAUGAUUUAGGUUUAACAACUUACCUGGGUUCUGCCAGAUGCCUGCGUAGUAUCUACUGCAUUCAGUGUUCUCUAGCAGAAGAUGUUGGUUGUCACAUUAUUGCCAAGCAGGACUGUAAUCAAUGGCUGAGAUUUUGCUCUCCAUCAAUGAUUGUCACUUGACAUUGCUUUUUAUUGACAUCUGCUGGAGAAGAUUGAGUGUUGGAUGCAGAGGAGCUGCCCAGGUAAGCUGUCAAACUGUGCUAAAAUAGCUAAAUCUUACUAUGAGAUAUUAACAGCGCACUCCUGUAGUGGGUAUAGUGUUUGGACCAUUUCUUUAGAGCUACCUAUGCAUCAUGGAACAUGUAAUAUGGAGUCAUUACUGGAAUGGGCUAAAUUUUGAAAAUAAUUAUUAUUAUACACAAUCCUAUAACAUAAUUAUAUACAAUCCUAUGACAUAACUUCACUUAGCACAAAAAAUAGAGCACAUUGUAUACUCUAUAAAGUUUUAAUGAUACAUAUUCGCACACAAAUGUUGACACUGUUCAAUUAAUACAUUUAAAAAUUCAUUGUUACUAAGUAGUGAUGUCCCGAACGGUUUGCUAAAAAAGGUUCGCCACGAACAGUUUGCCGCGGACUCAUCAUUGAGUAAACUUUGACCCUGUACUUUAC